This 463-nucleotide ribosomal RNA is filed under the name uncultured bacterium. RNAcentral describes it as "partial 16S ribosomal RNA". It matches the Rfam family "Bacterial small subunit ribosomal RNA", at positions 28 to 507 of the family's 1533-position model. The record is from RNAcentral.
GACGAACGCUGGCGGCGUGCUUAACACAUGCAAGUCGAACGGUGAACCUCUUCGGAGGGGAUCAGUGGCGAACGGGUGAGUAACACGUGGGCAACCUGCCCCCGGCUCUGGGAUAACUCCAAGAAAUUGGGGCUAAUACCGGAUGUUCACCGCUUCCCGCAUGGGUGGUGGUGGAAAGGGUUUCCGGCUGGGGAUGGGCCCGCGGCCUAUCAGCUUGCUGGUGGGGUAGUGGCCUACCAAGGCGACGACGGGUAGCCGGCCUGAGAGGGUGACCGGCCACACUGGGACUGAGACACGGCCCAGACUCCUACGGGAGGCAGCAGUGGGGGAUAUUGCGCAAGGGGCGGAAGCCUGACGCAGCGACGCCGCGUGGGGGAUGGCGGCCUUCGGGUUGUAGACCUCUUGCAGCAGGGACGAAGCGCAAGUGACGGGACCUGCAGAAGAAGGCCCGGCCAACUACGUG